GUUUGCACUUGUCGGGGAAGGGUGAGAACCUUCGAUUAAGGUUCGACUCGAGAGAACGUUGCCAACGGCAACGGCCCGUAGGGUGAGGAGCGAAGCGACGAAUAAUCCUUCCCCUACCACCA
Molecule: small RNA, 122 nt
Filed under: Salmonella enterica
Lineage: Bacteria; Pseudomonadati; Pseudomonadota; Gammaproteobacteria; Enterobacterales; Enterobacteriaceae
Description: RtT sRNA
Rfam family: RtT RNA
About the family: This family represents a bacterial cis-regulatory element known as RtT RNA. The exact function of RtT is unknown although it is thought that it may be involved in changing the cellular response in relation to amino acid starvation.
Source: RNAcentral